Molecule: ribosomal RNA, 205 nt
Filed under: uncultured bacterium
Lineage: Bacteria
Description: partial 16S ribosomal RNA
Rfam family: Bacterial small subunit ribosomal RNA
Source: RNAcentral
CGGACUGCAGUCUGCAACUCGACUGCACGAAGUCGGAAUUGCUAGUAAUCGCGGAUCAGCAUGCCGCGGUGAAUAGUUCCCGGGCCUUGUACACACCGCCCGUCACACCAUGAGAGUCGGGAACACCCGAAGUCGGUAGUCUAACCUCGUGAGGACGCCGCCGAAGGUGGGCUUGAUAAUUGGGGUGAAGUCGUAACAAGGUAGC